RNAcentral lists this unclassified non-coding RNA (206 nucleotides) under uncultured fungus. RNAcentral describes it as "sequence contains ITS1". Lineage: Eukaryota; Fungi. The record is from RNAcentral.
GUAUUAUGUUUCGACCAUAAAAGGUCUUGACUGAUACAUUCUAUAAAUUUCAGAGUGUAUUAUAAAACAUAGGCAAGCAGAACUUAAUCCGCCGCCUACAAUAAGUGCACAGGGGUUUGAAAAGGCGGAGUGCACAUGCGUCUUGCAACGCCAGCAACAUCCUUUGGAAUUCAAUAAUGAUCCUUCCGCAGGUUCACCUACGGAAA